AGGGUUCCCCCAAGGAUUUUUGGGGUGGCCCAGGUGGAGUUCAGAAUCCCAGUGAAUCCUCGGGUACCCCCAACAGAUUUUUGGGGGGCUCCAGAGGGAUUCGGGGCUGUCCACAGCAGAUUCCAGGGAGGUUUUGGGGCGCUCCAGGUGGAUUUGGAGGUGCCAAGGUGAAUCCCCUGUGGAUUCUGAGCUGCUCCAGGUGAAUUUUGAGGCACCCAGGUGGAUUCCAAACUCCUUCUAUAAAUUCUGAGCUGCUCCCAACAGAUUUUUGAGGUGCUCCUGGUGCAUUUUGAAGCACCUCAAAUGGAUUUUGGGGUGCUCCAGGUGGAUUCUGAGCUGCUCCCAACAGAUUUUGGGGUUCCAGGUGGAUUUUAAGGCACCCCCAGGAAACGCUGCUCUCUCCGGGCUCCACUCUGGGAUCAUCCAGGUGUAUCCACAGCAGCUCCAUGGCAGGUUUUGGGUGUCCCUGGCAGAUUUUACAGUGCCCCCAGCAGAAUUUGGGGUGCCCCCGGCAGAUUUUGGAGUAUUCCUGCCAGAUUUUGGGGUAUUCCUGCCAGAUUUUGGGGUAUUCCUGGUGUAUUUUGGGGUGUCCCUGGCAGGUUUUGGUGUGUCCCUGGCAGGAUUUGAGAUGUCCCCGACAGGUUUGGGGUGCCCCCAGCAGAUUUUGGAGUAUUCCUGGCAGAUUUGGGGGUAUUCCUGGCAGAUUUUGGGG
Molecule: long non-coding RNA, 712 nt
Organism: Ficedula albicollis (Collared flycatcher)
Lineage: Eukaryota; Metazoa; Chordata; Aves; Passeriformes; Muscicapidae
Exons: 3
Source: RefSeq, a predicted model, not a curated record